This is a long non-coding RNA of Cucurbita maxima (winter squash), 401 nucleotides long. RefSeq lists it as uncharacterized. NCBI's taxonomy places the organism in Eukaryota, Viridiplantae, Streptophyta, Magnoliopsida, Cucurbitales, Cucurbitaceae. The transcript has 2 exons. The record is from RefSeq and is a predicted model, not a curated record.
AGUAAGGGGAAAUAUUGGAACCCUAGACUCACGAUGGCACUAAUAGUCGGUUAUAGUGAAUAACCCUAACAUAAGAAUUUGACGACUCGUUGCAUCUGUAUAGAAUUUGACAACUUGUAUCAUGUGCUAACAUUUUGUACGUCUAUUUUGUCUCCAACUUCGUGCUCAACGCACAAUUUCAGUUUUGUCGUGCAAAUGUAUACGUUGCAUUAGGCUUCAUCGUGAGGUUGUAUUUCGACGCAUCUGUCUUUAUCAAGUUGUCAAUUGAUUUACCUUUUUGUCCUUGCGUAUUUCAGUAUCAUGUCACUUAUUUUCUUAAGUCACCUCGUUUAUAGAUUGAUGUCGGUUAGUGAGCUUCUCUUAUGAUCUCUAUUUUGAUUUAGUUUUGGCCAUUCGUUUAA